This 252-nucleotide ribosomal RNA is filed under the name uncultured bacterium. RNAcentral's name for it is "partial 16S ribosomal RNA". It matches the Rfam family "Bacterial small subunit ribosomal RNA", at positions 524 to 776 of the family's 1533-position model. The record is from RNAcentral.
UACGGAGGAUGCGAGCGUUAUCCGGAUUUAUUGGGUUUAAAGGGUGCGUAGGCGGAUCGUUAAGUCAGUGGUCAAGUUGAGGGGCUCAACCCCUUCCCGCCAUUGAAACUGGCGAUCUUGAGUGGAAGAGAAGUAUGCGGAAUGCGUGGUGUAGCGGUGAAAUGCAUAGAUAUCACGCAGAACCCCGAUUGCGAAGGCAGCAUGCCGGCUUCCUACUGACGCUGAAGCACGAAAGCGUGGGGAUCGAACAGG